Apteryx owenii (little spotted kiwi) is the source of this 1268-nucleotide long non-coding RNA. Lineage: Eukaryota; Metazoa; Chordata; Aves; Apterygiformes; Apterygidae. The record is from Ensembl.
UAUUUCUGCAGGGAACUGCACCUAGCAGUAUAAAUAGAAAUGGGUAAAACUAUUCAGAUGUAGUUAGAAUUUCAAUUGACUUCUCAAGUCAAACCUAUAUCAUUUAUUAGCAAAAAUGUAAAUGUCUCCAAGAUCAGCAGUGGUUUGAUGGUAGUACUUGUGAAUGUAGGUAGCUGAAUUUAAUAACAAUAUAUCUGAUAGAGCCAUUGGGGGUAUAAACAGAAUAAAGAAUGGGAUAUUCUCAGAAAAAACAGGAAUGGGAGACACAGCAGGCUGUCACGUCCACAUUUCUCUGAAACCCCAUAAAUAUGGCUCAUAUAGCAUUUAUGUGCUGAUGCUUUGCAUGUGGGGAACUUCUAUCCAGCAUUUAGCUAUGACUGAAACCAUUAAAUAGCUUUUAAGCAUUCAGAAACUAGAUUCCUGGUUGCUGGAAGUUUGAGAGCUUAAGCAAAGCUGUCUUAAGUUUUGUAUUCACAACAAAAUGUAAAACCACUAAGUUACAGACAAUACCAGUGUUUAGGGCCAGGUUUGGGACAGAAUACAUACUAAGCACUGAGAGCUCCGGGCAUGGACAAAUUUACAGAGACUGAGGAGCUAUGAAAGGAGGUGGGUACAAGCUGAAGAUAAGCAGAGAGGCUUUUGAGAGGAGUCUUGGCUACAGUGCCUUCUUCUCCCAGGCUGCUGGGUGCUAGUAACUCUAUGGAGCACAGCUGGGAGCACUUACUUAUCCAGGAAUUUGUAGCACGUCUCACCUGGCCAGAAAUGAGGGCCCAGCUCAGAAGCCUGAACAGCAACUACUCUGACCCAGUGCUAUGAAGCCGCAAGGCUUUACAGCACAGGUCUGGAUGUUGGCCCAGACAUCAGACUCCAUUGGCUCUUCCGAUAAAGGUCUCUCCCAGGAGUCAGGAGUGGCUGCCCUUGAGAAAGCUUCUUUUUUAAGAUGUCCAGCCCACAUCCCUGUUGAUUUGAGCAAGGACCUGGCUCACAAAAGAGGCAGAAACAAUGUAUCUUUGAAAAUUUCUUGAGAAAUGACUCCUUCCUAUUUGGCAUCAAUACAGGAGACCCAACAGCUGAAUUUUCACAAAAUCCUCAGAGACUGGAGGUGAUGGGCACACGUAAAGAGGGUUGGCUUCUCACAGCUCACACUCCUAACAAAUAGAACCAGACCUUCAAUAGAAAAGGCCAUCCAGCAGUGCAGAAUCACAGGCCAGAAACGCAGUGCUGUGUAAACAGGUAAUAAGAACCAUGGCUUCUGGUCUCCUGGUAAA